RNAcentral lists this ribosomal RNA (722 nucleotides) under Bacillus sp. MJS45. RNAcentral describes it as "bacterial SSU rRNA". It matches the Rfam family "Bacterial small subunit ribosomal RNA", at positions 57 to 762 of the family's 1533-position model. Lineage: Bacteria; Bacillati; Bacillota; Bacilli; Caryophanales; Bacillaceae. The record is from RNAcentral.
GCAGUCGAGCGGACAGAUGGGAGCUUGCUCCCUGAUGUUAGCGGCGGACGGGUGAGUAACACGUGGGUAACCUGCCUGUAAGACUGGGAUAACUCCGGGAAACCGGGGCUAAUACCGGAUGGUUGUUUGAACCGCAUGGUUCAAACAUAAAAGGUGGCUUCGGCUACCACUUACAGAUGGACCCGCGGCGCAUUAGCUAGUUGGUGAGGUAACGGCUCACCAAGGCAACGAUGCGUAGCCGACCUGAGAGGGUGAUCGGCCACACUGGGACUGAGACACGGCCCAGACUCCUACGGGAGGCAGCAGUAGGGAAUCUUCCGCAAUGGACGAAAGUCUGACGGAGCAACGCCGCGUGAGUGAUGAAGGUUUUCGGAUCGUAAAGCUCUGUUGUUAGGGAAGAACAAGUACCGUUCGAAUAGGGCGGUACCUUGACGGUACCUAACCAGAAAGCCACGGCUAACUACGUGCCAGCAGCCGCGGUAAUACGUAGGUGGCAAGCGUUGUCCGGAAUUAUUGGGCGUAAAGGGCUCGCAGGCGGUUUCUUAAGUCUGAUGUGAAAGCCCCCGGCUCAACCGGGGAGGGUCAUUGGAAACUGGGGAACUUGAGUGCAGAAGAGGAGAGUGGAAUUCCACGUGUAGCGGUGAAAUGCGUAGAGAUGUGGAGGAACACCAGUGGCGAAGGCGACUCUCUGGUCUGUAACUGACGCUGAGGAGCGAAAGCGU